UACGUAGGGACCGAGCGUUGUCCGGAUUCAUUGGGCGUAAAGAGCUCGUAGGCGGCUGUUCAAGUCGAACGUGAAAACUCGGGGCUCAACUCCGAGCCUGCGUUCGAUACUGGACGGCUAGAGUCUGGUAGGGGGAUCUGGAAUUCCUGGUGUAGCGGUGGAAUGCGCAGAUAUCAGGAGGAACACCGGUGGCGAAGGCGGCCCACUGGUCCGGUACUGACGCUGAGGUGCGAAAGCGUGGGGAGCAAACAGG
RNAcentral lists this ribosomal RNA (253 nucleotides) under uncultured bacterium. Its description in RNAcentral is "partial 16S ribosomal RNA". It matches the Rfam family "Bacterial small subunit ribosomal RNA", at positions 524 to 776 of the family's 1533-position model. The record is from RNAcentral.